RNAcentral lists this long non-coding RNA (2590 nucleotides) under Mus musculus (house mouse). Its description in RNAcentral is "long non-coding RNA chr3:158072279-158074869". Lineage: Eukaryota; Metazoa; Chordata; Mammalia; Rodentia; Muridae. The record is from RNAcentral.
UUGCAGGGGGUGGGGGCGGGGUGUCACUUGUCUCUGCGUUCUUAGACAAGGGAUGGCAGGAAGCUGUUAUGCCUGCCCAGAUGUAUAGCUGUUCUGAGGGUCCUGACUCAGGCUCCCAUAGUUGUGUGGUCAGUUCUUUACAUACUGAGCCAUCUCCCAAGGCCAUUCUCUAUUUUUUCAAACAUUUGAUUUAUUCUCUCCAUUUCUUUGGUGGUGAUUUAAGAGAUUCUCUGUGGUAUCUGGUGUCUUAGUGUGACAGACACAGAUUACAAGUUUUUUUUUUUUUUAAUUUGUCAUGUAAAAGUAUAUCAUUAAAAAAGAAAGUCUGUUUUUAAUUAACAAAGUAUAUUUACUGUUUUUCACUGCCCCAAACAUUUGGGGAUUCUAAAGAUUGGCUUAAGAAAUGACAGCGUCUGUGGAGCAGGCACUAUCAACUUCCUACAAAGUGGACUUUCCAUUACUGGCCAAUAUAGCUGUGGGGUGUGCUUCAGUGACUCCCAACCUAGAUAUCUAGCAUGCUUAAAGUGGUACCUGGAGGUCAGGAAAUACUUCAAGUAUUUUCAAAACGCAAUCUCAUUUUUUUAUUUUUUAUUUUCUUGGAGUUUUUGAGACAGAGUUUCUCUGUGUAGCCCUGGCUAUCCUGGAACUCACUCUGUAGAACACAUGUGGCCUUGAACUCCGAUAUCUACCUGCUUCUGCCUCCCAAGUGCACAAUCUCGUUUUCAAAUGCGGCUAUGCUACAUGUUUCUGCUAAAUAUUUUCUAAUUUAAUGCACAGAUACACUAAGUCACUCUAGGUCUUCACCAUCACAGGUAGCUGUGUUGUCACACCUGAAUGCGUCCUAAUUUAUUACUGCUGCCCCAACUCUAGACUAAUCUGGGGUGGGGGUGGGACUCUAGUUUUAACCUCAAGGAAGUAAAACAAGCAAGCAAGCAAGCAAACAAACAAAAGCCCCUGUUCUCCUUGCCAUGUAAUACGGUAGCAGGAGAGACUUUAUAUGGGAACUUGGGGAGUUAUCACUUCUUAGCAGCUAAUGUGGAUAAGGCAGCUGAAAUAGUCACUAGGACCAAACACUAAUAAUCUCAGCUGCUUAUGAGGUACCCACAAGGUGUUUACAGGAAACCCUAGUACCAGGAAAUCUGUUUGUUUUUUUCUUUUUACUUUUCAUCCAAUUUUAUUAUCUUAGGUGCAGUUUAAAUUGCAUUUCUUGUUGGCCUCUCAGGGUCUUAUUUUCUGUACAGACACAGUACCUCAAGGACAUAAGUUGAAGCAAUAGGCCUUGGCUUUCCAGCCAUGAGAAGCCCUAUCUCUACAUUCUCUCUGGCUUUGUUCCUUGAUGGCAGCCUCCCUGAAGGACUAAAUUAAAAGGAAUGGCAAGCCAGGCCUAAUAACUUAUCCUGGAUGAUACUGCCUCCUCUGUCUCUAAAGACUUGUCCUUUCUGCACAAUAAACACAGGUGAGAAGCAAGAGCUGGCCUUCUAGAAUGUUCUGUAUCCACAGUGUGAAUCGGUAAAGCUGAAAGGAAUCCUUUGCUGCCGUGUGGGAGUGAGGGAGAUCGUGAGUAUGUGGUCUCUGCUCUCACAUUUCUCGAAGACAGCAGUUUGUAGACUUAAGCAUCUAUCUCCCCACCUGAUUGUUUCUUGACAGGGCUUAGUUGUAUGUUUAACUGCUGCCACAGUAAAACUUUGAACAUAUGCCUCUUUUUAUUUAAUUUAAUUGCAAGGGCAACCAGAAAAGGAAAGGCUUAAAAAAAUCAUUACAUUUUUUUUUUAAGUCUUAAUACCACAGGCUAGAACUCUGGAAACACUCCCGUCAUCACUUCUGUAUGGGUUGGGUGUAGCUCAGGGGUGGGGCAUCCACAUGCUCCACAGGCACAAACUCCUAGGUAGAAUGCCUAGAAACAACAGUCCCUGAACUACAUAUAUUCAAACUACAGGUCUGGAAGCACUUAAACAAACAAACAAACAAACAAAGUCUGUACAGUGGUAUAGGUGAACAUGUUGGGGUAUUUAUUAAAGUAAUUUUAAAAAAGAAAGCCGAAGUCAUGAUUUCUCAUUUUUGAGCUAUUUAUGACAACCCAGGGCUGUAGAGCCUGAGGUCCAGAUUUUGAAGAGAUGCGUGAAAAUUAAAAAAAAAAGGAAUACUAAUACCAAAAAGGACAGAGGUGUGUGUUUGUGUGUGUAUGUGUAGUUGGUGGGGGAUUGGUUCCCACAUUUGACUUGUGUUGGGAGGCAGGCACAGGGAUGUGCAGGUUGGGCAACCGUAUCUAACUGUAUGCUUGCUGGAGUCUCUCUUGGUCUGAAGGAAUCUUUGAGAUCCUAUCAAGAGCAAAGUACUUAUUGCCAAGUUGAAUGUUCCCACAAUAAGGCUGUGCAAAUGUGUUUGCCAGCUAGUUUAAAACAUGAGGAACACUGGGUCAAGAUAGGUGGCUGGGGACAGGUUACAUAGAGUUUGGGAGAAGCUGGGACUUACCAGCUGCCUGAUGAUUUUCUCAUGAAUCAAAUUCUGCUAUAACAAACACCAAAAUAAAUAAAUAAAUAGAUAGAUAGAUAGAUAGAUAGAUAGAUACAUAGAUACAUAGAUAGAUAUG